This 491-nucleotide ribosomal RNA is filed under the name uncultured bacterium. RNAcentral describes it as "partial 16S ribosomal RNA". It matches the Rfam family "Bacterial small subunit ribosomal RNA", at positions 28 to 507 of the family's 1533-position model. The record is from RNAcentral.
GAUGAACGCUGGCUACAGGCUUAACACAUGCAAGUCGAGGGGAAACGCCGGGGAAGCUUGCUUCCCCGGGCGUCGACCGGCGCACGGGUGAGUAACGCGUAUCCAACCUGCCUCUGACUGAGGGAUAACCCGUCGAAAGUCGGCCUAAUACCUCAUGGCAUCGUCUGCGGGCAUCCAACGACGAUUAAAGAUUUCAUCGGUCAGAGAUGGGGAUGCGUCUGAUUAGCUUGUUGGCGGGGUAACGGCCCACCAAGGCGACGAUCAGUAGGGGUUCUGAGAGGAAGGUCCCCCAGAUGGGAACUGAGACACGGUCCAAACUCCUACGGGAGGCAGCAGUGAGGAAUAUGGGUCAAUGGGCGAGAGCCUGAACCAGCCAAGUAGCGUGCAGGAUGACGGCCCUAUGGGUUGUAAACUGCUUUUAGGCGGGGAUAAAGUGAGGGACGGGUCCUUCAUUGAAGGUACCGCAUGAAUAAGGACCGGCUAAUUCCGUG